UGCUAGUUCUGUUUAAUUAAGAUUUCCUUAUCCCCUGCUAUGUUAAUAGCUUGCUAGACCCUGCAAGAGCCUCCUGUAUGUGAUUAAAGUUCAAUUUAGAGAUUGAGAUACAAUUAUUUAAGGUAAAUUACAUCUGUUUGAAAGUGAAACCAUUUUUUUUUUUUUUUUCAUGCAGGCUCUGUCAGUCAUAGCCAGGGGAGGUGUGGCUAGGGCUGCAUAAACAGAAACAAAGUGAUUUAAAUCCUAAAUGACAGUGAAUUGAGCAGUGAAAUUGCAGGGGA
Non-coding RNA from Pelobates cultripes (western spadefoot toad), 281 nucleotides. Lineage: Eukaryota; Metazoa; Chordata; Amphibia; Anura; Pelobatidae. The record is from the annotation of a GenBank genome assembly.